UUCACCUGUCAAUCUGUCAUCUCUGCUGUUCCCAACGCGAAAGAUGAAAAGUGUUUUUAGUUAAGUGACUAAUCCAACAAAUUCAAUUAAGUUAGCUCCUCAAUAAAAUAUACAGUAUAUAUAAUGAUGCAAAGACUGCGUGCAUUCUAAACGGUGGUCUGUUUUCUGGUGUUGUGCACUAACCGGAACUUUUCCAAACUGGUUCAAGGGGAAACCGGCGCAUCAACAUCAACAAGUAAACUUCCGUAGUAUGCAUACUAUUGCCCAAUUAGUAUUGUCUAUAACUUCAAUACUUACUGGAAUCAAAUUUAGAACAUCCGAUGUAGCCAUCUAUCACAAGAUAAUGCAAUCAUUGGUUAGAUGCACAUUUUCGUUCUGUGAACCGAUGCUCUCUGGCGAUGGAAGCAGAAUCAUCACUCUUAUCGUCAGUCGCAUACGCAGCAUUAAGGAUUUUGGGAAGCAUCAAUGUUGCAGGUGCAUGGGAGUCGACACCUAGGCUGUUUAAUUAUUCGUACUGUAGUAGAUCUAUCACAAUCAAAUCUAAAUGGAGUUUGGUUAAUUUUGCCUGCCAGACAAUACAAAGUGUAAUGUACAAUGUAUGUAUCAGCGGAUCGACAAUUCAGCAUCGCGACACGACCAGCCGAGAUAAGAUGUAAGAAAAAACGUAUGCUAAUAGAAAAAUAUACAUAAUUGCUGAAUGUUUCUCAAUCGAAAAGAAAUAUGAAAGA
Armigeres subalbatus is the source of this 728-nucleotide long non-coding RNA. RefSeq lists it as uncharacterized. The transcript has 3 exons. The record is from RefSeq and is a predicted model, not a curated record. NCBI's taxonomy places the organism in Eukaryota, Metazoa, Arthropoda, Insecta, Diptera, Culicidae.